RNAcentral lists this small RNA (51 nucleotides) under Lyngbya sp. PCC 8106. RNAcentral describes it as "Nitrogen stress-induced RNA 1". It matches the Rfam family "Nitrogen stress-induced RNA 1". The record is from Rfam by way of RNAcentral. Lineage: Bacteria; Bacillati; Cyanobacteriota; Cyanophyceae; Oscillatoriales; Microcoleaceae.
UAGUAGAUGCACCCUGAUUAGAUCGCCCAUAACGUCAUGGGCGUUUUUCUU